GCGCUCUACCAUUGGGCUACAACCCCAGCCCUGUGAUACCAGUUUUUCGGUAACUCAGAAAUGGAAUUAGAAAUAAUCUGAUUUUUUUAAAUUUGUCCCUAUUUUCCAUAAUUAAAUGUUUUGUUUUUAUUCUUUUAAAGGUGUUAUUACAUCAAGACUUUCCAUUAGAAGUGACAAACAAUUCAUCUUGGGAAGUCAUCUACUGGCUCAGCGGCUCCUGGCACUUGCCUGGAUCCAGGUCGGCCAGGGCCAGGAGUAGCUCCCUGUGAGAAGAGGACACCACAGCUGAGUCCCUACAGCAGCAGCUGCAGUACAAAGACCAAAGUACAAAGUGCUGCAGCCUCAGAGCAGAGGUGCUCCCAGAGCCAGAGCUUCCUCUCAGAGCCCCAAGCCUGAUGCUUCAGCCCUUCCAGAGGAUCUGGGAGCCUCAGCUGGAUUCAGCCAGAUGGAUCUCUGUGAUGUGCCUGUCCAACCAGGGAAUCAGCAGUCUCUGAGGCCUGCAACCACAUGCUGGGACCACCACACCCCCUAUCCUCUGGUUGGGGCUGACCAGCACAGUUCCCAAGUGAGGGCACAAUCACAAGCAUUGAGCACCUUUGUGGGCCUGUAGAGAGAGAAGCCAGACCUGAACAGAGGGUCUGCAUCCAGGCAGGCCUACCUGAGUGCUGAGCUCUUGAGGAUUCCUGGUCCACAUCUGCCAGAGAGCUGCAGCUGAUCCCGAAGGAGCUCACCUGGGACUGGAGAACCAAGAAGACGAGUGUUGAAGACCUUCAACUGCAACACAAGCUGUUCAACUGCCCCUUCUCUCCUGCCUGCAAUGCACGAGGCUGGAAGUGCCCCAGCCAGGACUGGCCACACCUGCCCAGAUGGUGAAGCUCUCAGGGGACGCUGGAUGCAACCCUCUGUUGACAAACUGACUUUCCUUCUUACUGGUGGACACUGAAAACUAUUUUCCUUCUGCUUCGGCUGUAGAAUGUACAAGGUGGAGUGCGGCCUGUUUGUGUGCACAACUCUGCUCUGUUUUCUACUCUUAGCCUUUUCUUGCUUUGAUUUCCUCUUCUAAUGAUUCUAUUUUCUUGUACUAUUUCUAUUUUUGGAAGGUUUAAAAUAACUUUUUAACUGCUUGAAAACUGUUAACUCUCCAGAAUGAACAUAAAAGAUUGGCAUUUGCAA
This is a long non-coding RNA of Marmota flaviventris (yellow-bellied marmot), 1173 nucleotides long. RefSeq lists it as uncharacterized. The record is from RefSeq and is a predicted model, not a curated record. NCBI's taxonomy places the organism in Eukaryota, Metazoa, Chordata, Mammalia, Rodentia, Sciuridae.